GGGGGAGUCUCGCUGCCUCCAGGAGGAGCCCGGGAAACUGCCGGACACUUGCAAGUGCUCUCGGCAGCCAACUAAUGACUUAAUGUCCUGCUUUUCAAACACCUGGGAAAGACAGUUUCAGACAUGUAAAGUAUCAUCCAAUCAGAUGGGACACAGUCCUGAUUCUGUGGCUCUCCCCCUGACGCUUCACUCCAAUACACAAUCAGGAUAUGACCCGUUUACCAGGCUUUGCCCAUGCGCCUGGGCUGUGAGACAUGACCAUAUUCUGCGUUAGUGAUAUAUGAGACCCAGUAAAGCAAGGGCUCAGAGAAGGGGCCCCUUUCGCCCAGGUCUUGCCCCGAUGAUGGAUGGUGCAAUUAAGGGAUGGCACUGUGGAUGAAUUCUGGCUAAUGAUGACACUUUCAAAGCAGAAAAGAAGCUGAACCACAGAUAAAGUUCCAUUUUUUGGAGUGUCCUUUGGUGAAGCUUUCCCUAAUAUCUCCUCUUCCCUUAUAGACGGGAUUAAUUAA
Molecule: long non-coding RNA, 509 nt
Organism: Ailuropoda melanoleuca (giant panda)
Lineage: Eukaryota; Metazoa; Chordata; Mammalia; Carnivora; Ursidae
Exons: 3
Source: RefSeq, a predicted model, not a curated record